UGGGGAAUUUUGGACAAUGGGCGAAAGCCUGAUCCAGCAAUGCCGCGUGUGUGAAGAAGGCCUUCGGGUUGUAAAGCACUUUUGUCCGGAAAGAAAUCCUUGGCUCUAAUACAGUCGGGGGAUGACGGUACCGGAAGAAUAAGCACCGGCUAACUACGUGCCAGCAGCCGCGGUAAUACGUAGGGUGCAAGCGUUAAUCGGAAUUACUGGGCGUAAAGCGUGCGCAGGCGGUUUGCUAAGACCGAUGUGAAAUCCCCGGGCUCAACCUGGGAACUGCAUUGGUGACUGGCAGGCUAGAGUAUGGCAGAGGGGGGUAGAAUUCCACGUGUAGCAGUGAAAUGCGUAGAGAUGUGGAGGAAUACCGAUGGCGAAGGCAGCCCCCUGGGCCAAUACUGACGCUCAUGCACGAAAGCGUGGGGAGCAAACAGGAUUAGAUACCCUGGUAGUCCACGCCCUAAACGAUGUCAGCUAGUUGUUGGGGAUUCAUUUCCUUAGUAACGUAGCUAACGCGUGAAGUUGACCGCCUGGGGAGUACGGUCGCAAGAUUAAAACUUAAAUGAAUUGAC
Molecule: ribosomal RNA, 566 nt
Filed under: uncultured bacterium
Lineage: Bacteria
Description: partial 16S ribosomal RNA
Rfam family: Bacterial small subunit ribosomal RNA
Source: RNAcentral